UCUGAUAUGGCAGAUUAGUGCUAAAGAUUUAAGAUCUUUCCAAAAAGGUUCAAAUCCUUUUUUCAGAA
RNAcentral lists this transfer RNA (68 nucleotides) under Chelonibia testudinaria. RNAcentral describes it as "tRNA-Leu". It matches the Rfam family "tRNA". Rfam says of the family: Transfer RNA (tRNA) molecules are approximately 80 nucleotides in length. Their secondary structure includes four short double-helical elements and three loops (D, anti-codon, and T loops). Further hydrogen bonds mediate the characteristic L-shaped molecular structure. tRNAs have two regions of fundamental functional importance: the anti-codon, which is responsible for specific mRNA codon recognition, and the 3' end, to which the tRNAs corresponding amino acid is attached (by aminoacyl-tRNA synthetases). tRNAs cope with the degeneracy of the genetic code in two manners: having more than one tRNA (with a specific anti-codon) for a particular amino acid; and 'wobble' base-pairing, i.e. permitting non-standard base-pairing at the 3rd anti-codon position. The record is from RNAcentral. Lineage: Eukaryota; Metazoa; Arthropoda; Thecostraca; Balanomorpha; Chelonibiidae.